RNAcentral lists this ribosomal RNA (253 nucleotides) under uncultured bacterium. RNAcentral describes it as "partial 16S ribosomal RNA". It matches the Rfam family "Bacterial small subunit ribosomal RNA", at positions 524 to 776 of the family's 1533-position model. The record is from RNAcentral.
UACGAAGGGGGCUAGCGUUGCUCGGAAUCACUGGGCGUAAAGCGCACGUAGGCGGAUUGUUAAGUCAGGGGUGAAAUCCCGGAGCUCAACUCCAGAACUGCCUUUGAUACUGGCGAUCUCGAGUCCGGGAGAGGUGAGUGGAACUGCGAGUGUAGAGGUGAAAUUCGUAGAUAUUCGCAAGAACACCAGUGGCGAAGGCGGCUCACUGGCCCGGUACUGACGCUGAGGUGCGAAAGCGUGGGGAGCAAGCAGG